UUAAACCCUACAUUUCUGUGAUCUUCAUGAAUCCAACAGUAUAUACCUAAUCAUGUGUAUAAUCAUCAUCUAUUCAAUCAAUAAUCACUCAUAUAAUCAUCUAUUGAUGCUUCAAAUUAAUGAAAAAUCUGUUGAAUAAUUCUCUGUCAAAUUUCUAGAGUGCUAAACCCUACAUUUCUGUGAUCUUCAUGUUUCUAACAUAUAGACCUAAUCAUGUAUAUAUAAUCAUCAAUUCAAUCAAUAAAACAUUCGCACAAUCAUCCACUGACGCAUUCAACUAA
Molecule: long non-coding RNA, 281 nt
Filed under: Helianthus annuus (common sunflower)
Lineage: Eukaryota; Viridiplantae; Streptophyta; Magnoliopsida; Asterales; Asteraceae
Description: hypothetical non coding rna
Source: RNAcentral